RNAcentral lists this ribosomal RNA (393 nucleotides) under uncultured bacterium. RNAcentral's name for it is "bacterial SSU rRNA". It matches the Rfam family "Bacterial small subunit ribosomal RNA", at positions 505 to 898 of the family's 1533-position model. The record is from RNAcentral.
GUGUCAGCAGCCGCGGUAAGACGAACCGUGCGAACGUUGUUCGGAAUCACUGGGCUUAAAGGGCGCGUAGGCGGCUUGUCAAGUCGGGGGUGAAAUCCGGCAGCUUAACUGUCGAAGUGCCUUCGAUACUGACAAGCUCGAGGGAGGUAGGGGUCUGUGGAACUUCUGGUGGAGCGGUGAAAUGCGUUGAUAUCAGAAGGAACGCCGGUGGCGAAAGCGACGGACUGGAUCUCUUCUGACGCUGAGGCGCGAAAGCUAGGGUAGCGAACGGGAUUAGAUACCCCGGUAGUCCUAGCCCUAAACGAUGGGUACUAGGUUGUGGACUAAUAUGGGUUCACAGCCGAAGCAAAAGUUAUAAGUACCCCGCCUGGGGAGUAUGGUCGCAAGGCUGAA